AUACUUACCUGGCAGGGGAGGUACCUUGAAGGUGGUUUUCCCAGGGUAAGGCUUAUGCAUUGCACUCUGUAUGUACUGACCCUGUGAUUUCCCCAAAUGUGGAAAACUCAACUGCAUAAUUUGUGGUAGUGGGGGACUGCAUUCAUUCUCUUCCUUG
Molecule: small nuclear RNA, 157 nt
Filed under: Peromyscus maniculatus bairdii (prairie deer mouse)
Lineage: Eukaryota; Metazoa; Chordata; Mammalia; Rodentia; Cricetidae
Description: U1 spliceosomal RNA (ENSPEMG00000002686.2)
Rfam family: U1 spliceosomal RNA
About the family: U1 is a small nuclear RNA (snRNA) component of the spliceosome (involved in pre-mRNA splicing).
Source: Rfam by way of RNAcentral